Molecule: long non-coding RNA, 204 nt
Filed under: Salvia miltiorrhiza (redroot sage)
Lineage: Eukaryota; Viridiplantae; Streptophyta; Magnoliopsida; Lamiales; Lamiaceae
Description: long non-coding RNA (SMIL_LNC002875)
Source: RNAcentral
UGCUUACAUGAGUGGCAGUGAAACUGAAAUUUACUAUACUUUGAUUAGCGAAAUGAAUAAUAAUUUACAGAUCUAGGAUUUUAUGGCAGAAAUAUGUAAAUACACCACAUCUAACUGUUGUUGACAGAGUUUGGGGCUGAGCCCCCUGUUUUGUGUGUUUGUGACGACGUCAGGGAGGUGGCAGCCACGGUGGCUUAUCGCCGG